AAAAAUGUUAGGGAGAAGUAAUAAUUCAUUUUGGUUAGAGCAAAGCUGCUUUAGGUGGUUCAGUGGUCCUGUGGUAGCAGUGAGAGGUGUUGCAUGGAAGAUCAAACCAUUAAAUACGCAAAUAGUAACCUUUAAUGAAUUUCAAAAUAUGUUUUGGAUUUCUAGUUAAACUUGUUAUUAUUUUAUGAAUUUUUAUAUGAAUUUUUAUUGUUUAAUGAUUAUUUAAAUGUUUUUUUAUUAAACUUUUGAUAUUUUUUUUUUUUUUAAUUAUGGAUGAUGUUACACACUGAAAGAUGAAUAUCUUGUUAUAGGUAAAUCUGUGAAAGAGAAAGGCGCUGGAAUGGGAAACCCUAGCAGAGGAACGAAGACGCGAGAAAAAUGAAAGUGAUGAUGAUGAGUCGGGCUGCGAAGGAAAAGUGAUGCGCUGAUGUCUUGAAGCGCUGACGCAGGCAGAAGAGGUGUCAGCGAAGGAGUGGUUGAGAAGCUGAAGAUGUGGUGGAUGUUGUUUAAUGGUGCUGCGUGUAUAUGAGAGAGAAAGUGGAAAUGGAUAAUGACUAAAUAGCAGGAAUGAUAAUAAUAAUUUCGAUAAAUAACAGCAGUAAAGAGAAUGAAACUUAAAUACAAGACUACGAUAUAAUACAGAAAUGUUCAAUUUCAAGCUAACCAAUUCUAUUUAUAUAGUGUUUCUAAGCUUACUUAUUAAAGUCCGCGACGCGAUUCCUUGAUUUACGGCGAAAUCGGGGUGGUCCACCGUGUACGCGGCAGCGAUUCCAAUUAUACUCGGAACUUUUCUUCACUUCUCCGGCGAGGCAGCACGAAUUAAAGCAAAAGAGAUUUUGUUCUAUGACUCCGGCCAGAUAACAGGUAUUGCAGAGAAAUAGACUUGGAAAGGAAGAAGAUGGUGGGUGAUAGAGUAUUGCUUUUUGGGUCAGAUUGGGUAUUGGGUACUGGGC
RNAcentral lists this long non-coding RNA (953 nucleotides) under Vigna radiata. RNAcentral describes it as "long non-coding RNA (VRAD_LNC001501)". Lineage: Eukaryota; Viridiplantae; Streptophyta; Magnoliopsida; Fabales; Fabaceae. The record is from RNAcentral.